This 508-nucleotide ribosomal RNA is filed under the name uncultured bacterium. RNAcentral's name for it is "partial 16S ribosomal RNA". It matches the Rfam family "Bacterial small subunit ribosomal RNA", at positions 29 to 523 of the family's 1533-position model. The record is from RNAcentral.
AUUGAACGCUGGCGGCAUGCCUUACACAUGCAAGUCGAACGGCAGCGGGGGAGAAGCUUGCUUUUCCUGCCGGCGAGUGGCGAACGGGUGAGUAAUACAUCGGAACGUGCCCUGUAGUGGGGGAUAACUAGUCGAAAGAUUAGCUAAUACCGCAUACGACCUGAGGGUGAAAGGGGGGGACCGCAAGGCCUCAUGCUAUAGGAGCGGCCGAUGUCUGAGUAGCUAGGUGGUGGGGUAAAGGCCUACCAAGGCGACGAUCAGUAGCUGGUCUGAGAGGACGAUCAGCCACACUGGGACUGAGACACGGCCCAGACUCCUACGGGAGGCAGCAGUGGGGAAUUUUGGACAAUGGGCGAAAGCCUGAUCCAGCAAUGCCGCGUGUGUGAAGAAGGCCUUCGGGUUGUAAAGCACUUUUGUCCGGAAAGAAAUGGCUCUGGUUAAUACCUGGGGUCGAUGACGGUACCGGAAGAAUAAGGACCGGCUAACUACGUGCCAGCAGCCGCAGUAA